UGGGGAAUAUUGGACAAUGGGCGAAAGCCUGAUCCAGCCAUGCCGCGUGGGUGAAGAAGGUCUUCGGAUUGUAAAGCACUUUACGUUGGGAGGAAGGGCAUUAACCUAAUACGUUAGUGUUUUGACGUUACCGACAGAAUAAGCACCGGCUAACCCUGUGCCAGCAGCCGCGGUAAUACAGAGGGUGCAAGCGUUAAUCGGAAUUACUGGGCGUAAAGCGCGCGUAGGUGGUUUGUUAAGUUGGAUGUGAAAUCCCCGGGCUCAACCUGGGAACUGCAUUCAAAACUGACUGACUAGAGUAUGGUAGAGGGUGGUGGAAUUUCCUGUGUAGCGGUGAAAUGCGUAGAUAUAGGAAGGAACACCAGUGGCGAAGGCGACCACCUGGACUAAUACUGACACUGAGGUGCGAAAGCGUGGGGAGCAAACA
This 427-nucleotide ribosomal RNA is filed under the name uncultured bacterium. RNAcentral's name for it is "partial 16S ribosomal RNA". It matches the Rfam family "Bacterial small subunit ribosomal RNA", at positions 355 to 774 of the family's 1533-position model. The record is from RNAcentral.